This 254-nucleotide ribosomal RNA is filed under the name uncultured bacterium. Its description in RNAcentral is "partial 16S ribosomal RNA". It matches the Rfam family "Bacterial small subunit ribosomal RNA", at positions 524 to 776 of the family's 1533-position model. The record is from RNAcentral.
UACGUAGGUGGCAAGCGUUGUUCGGAAGUAUUGGGCGUAAAGAGCUCGUAGGUGGUUCGGUAAGUCGGGUGUGAAACCUCCAGGCUCAACCUGGAGACGCCACCCGAUACUGCUGUGACUGGAGUCCGGUAGGGGAGCGUGGAAUUCCUGGUGUAGCGGUGAAAUGCGCAGAUAUCAGGAGGAACACCGGUGGCGAAGGCGGGUCUCUGGGCCGAAAUUGACGCUGAGGAGCGAAAGCGUGGGGAGCAAACAGG